GGAUAGUUGUCAAGAUAUAGGAUCCAGAAGUGUAGGACUUAGAGCAGGUCAUAGUUCGAGCAAUGUCAGGAGCCAAAACAUGGAGUUCAGAGUUGCAGGAUAUGGAUCAAAUUCUAUCUAUUCCCAUUCCCGAGAUGGAGUAGGUAACAUUGGACUAAGAUCCAUUUAAACUUCUAACAGUGUGAGGAAAGUUAGUAGAGGGAUGCAACCGGAGCAGGCAAAAGUUAUAGGAUGUGUAAUGGUGUCUUAAACUGUCCUAUCAGGCAAAGAAGUGAAUUAAUAAGUGGUAAGUUAAAUAAAAGUAAACUUAAUGGUUUAAAUAGGCAUAACAAACAAAAAAGAUGGUGAAAAAUGGCACAUAGGCUUAGGUCCUGAGAAUAGAUGGUGAUAUAGCAUUUAUGGGGUAUGUGAUCAAGGGUUAGGUAAGCAUUUU
Molecule: unclassified non-coding RNA, 433 nt
Filed under: Hevea brasiliensis (rubber tree)
Lineage: Eukaryota; Viridiplantae; Streptophyta; Magnoliopsida; Malpighiales; Euphorbiaceae
Source: RNAcentral